CACCUGAAGCAUAUGGAAGGUCCCAGGCUAGGGGUCAAAUCAGAGCUAUGGCUGCUGGCCUAUACCACCUCCAGAGCAACGCCAGAUCCAAGCCACGUUUGCAACCUAUACCACAGCUCAUGGCAACGCCAGGCCCUUAACCCACUGAGUGAGCCCAGGGAUCAAACCCAAGUCCUCAUGGAUACUAGUGGGGUUUGUUACCACUGAGCCACGGCGGGAACUCCCUAAAAAUUUCUUUUUCUUUUUACAGCUGCACCUGCAGCAUAUGGAAGUUCCCAGACCAGAGGUCGAAUUGGAGCUCCAGCUGCUGCCUACACCACAGUCAUGGCAACAAUGAAUCCAAGUUACAUCUGAAACCUAGGCCAAAGCUUAUGGCAUGGGUCACCCAUCUGCUGUCAUCUGUGGGAAGGGACCAGUAAGGUCACACGUGGCUUCCUUCCUGGUGCUGAACACCAGCCAGCUCCCUCCUUUCUGGGUGUGCGCUUCAGAAUGGCAAGGAGACCUUAAACCUGCUUCUGCAGCACUUUGGACUGAACUACCUUCUGUUGCCUCAAUCUCUGUUCCAGGACAGGGAGAGAAGGCCCACAGUCUUUGUCUGCUCUGUCACUAAGCAAUUUGCUUCCUCUCAGUGCUCGUGGCUGGACGAUGGUAACAUCUUGAGACUCCUGUUAUGGCUCAGUAAGAAGCAUGAAGACUCCGUUAGACGUUGAACUCAAGCCUCUGCUUUGGACCGAACUUCGAGAACUUUAAUAAAGUGGAACAUUCUGUCUUCCAUCAGUUUCUGUUUCCACGGCACACACAUCUCUCUAGGCACUUCCUAGGGAGGAUGAAUAUGUAGGGUAGGAUUCCAGAAUUUCUGCUCCCCAGGCAAUGAUAUUAAUACGAUAAUUAAUAGUACCAAACACUUUAAGAAGACUGGGUUAAUUAAUAGAGGAAUUCCAUCAGACUUUUAAAGGAGAUCGAUGACAUAAAUAGUAAGGGGCCCGUUUUGUCAUGAGUUUCCUUUUCCUCAAGCAUCGUGUCAGGGUUUGGUCUUACUCAAAAAACAUUUCCUACCCCUCGACCAAAGAAAAUCUCUAAAAUAUAGCUCAGGAAAUUUGAGUAUUGAAGGGAUAUUCAUAAAUAUUUUAAAACUGUCCUUGAUUUUUUGUUACUGAAUUUUUAAAAAUGUGAAUUAAAAACACCGCACUCAACUAAACUCACAUAAUUAUUAUGAGAAUGAAAUUCAACAAGAGGUCAGAAAAUGCUUUGAAAACUGAGAAACAAUACAGAUAAGAAGACUUUUAAAACAAAGAACAUGUUGCAUUAUGGAACCUAAGAUGCCAUAAAGCUAACAAACUAUCAUGGGCGUAUAAAAGGAAACAUGGAGAAUUCGUUCCACCUGCUCAAAGAGGAACAUUUCUUUUUCUUUUUUCCCUCUCUCUCUCCGUGCUUUCUGCUUUUCGUGAGUGUGUGUGUGUGUGUUUAGGGCCACACCUGCAACAUAUGGAAGUUCCCAGGCUAGGGGUGAACCCAAGCUGCAGCUGCCGGCCACAGCCACGGCCACAGCCACACCAGAUCCGAGCUGUGUCUGUGACCUACACCACAGCUCACGGCAACACUGGAUCCUUAGCCCAACGAGUGAGGCCAGGGAUGGAACCUGCGUUCUCACGGACACUAGUGGGGUUCAUUACCACUGAGCCACAGCAGAAACUCCCAAAGAGGAAUAUUUCUGCUUCUUAGUCAUCCUUCUCUGCAAUCCCACUAUUGGACUAUUCAAGUCUAUUUAAUUCUGCCACCGAGGAAAUUUUUUAAUUACUUGGAACAAGGAUCUUUAAACAGGUACUAAGCAUCAAUGGCUCCAAAUUGUUUCAUUCUUGAUACACUUUGUUUCUGCUAAAGUGGGGAGGAGAUGGAGAUGAAAUCGAAUAAAGAACAAGAAAUUCCAGAGCUUAAACCGGGUGGCUAGGUGGCAGAGGCUGUCGGUUUCUUUAAAGAAAUACCUUCCUCGGAAAGUCAGGGAGGAGAAUCAAUUUUUACUCUCACUAUCAAGUCCCAAGUCCAAAUAAUACAUCCGCUGGACACUAGCUGGGUCAGAAAAAGAUGUUCUCUGCAGCUAAGCUCUUAUUCUAGUGAGGAAAUGUUUUGUGUGCACAUUGUUAUGUCCUCAUUCAUCCAGUGGGAACGUCACAAAUGUUCACGAAUCUGGUUUGACAUGGUCGCACUGCCCUAGACGAGCCAUAAUGCUGUUGAAUUUAAAACAUCAUCAACGUAAGACAAAGUGGUCCAUUCUUCACGUGCCCUGAUGCCCUAGUGAACUCAUUAUCAGCUAUGGCUGGCACUGCGUCCCCCUAGUUCAUAUGUUGAAGCUUUACCCCUUACGGUGAUUGUAUUUGAAGAUGGGGCCUCUUCAGGGGUCAUUAAGGCUAAAGGAGGUCAUGAGGCUGGGAACCUGAGCCAAUGGGAUUGGGGUCCUUUUAAGAAGAGGACGAUACACCAGAACACUCUCCCUCUGCCUUCCUCCCUCCCUCUCUCUCUCCACGUGUAGGCACAGAGGAAAGACCAUGUGAGGACAUGUGAGGAGUGGCCACCUGCACGACAGAGAGAGGGGCCUCACCGGAAACCAACCCCGCUGGCCCCUCGACGUGGAAAUAAACACCUGCUGUUUAAGUCCUGUGUCCUGGGGUAUCUUGUGAUGGGAGGCCUUCCUGAUGAAGACACUGUCCCUUGCUUAGGUGCAUCAUCAGCCUCGUUAUGGACCUUGGGGAGAAUAAGAGUAGCCCAGCAACGAGGAAGCAGGGGCUUCACUGCAGGAAGAAGUGAUGGAAAGCGUGGGACGCUCCAAGCACUGAUGCAAAGAAUGGCUAUUGUACCAACAGCCACUGGGUGAGGUAGCAGCAAACAAUGUUGAGGAUGAAAAUGAAGAAGAACAGGAGUUCCUGCUGUGGCACAACAGGAUAGGCAGCCUCUUGGGAGUGCUGGAACGCAGGUUCGAUCCCCAGCCCAGGACCAUGGGUUAAGGAUCCAGCGUUGCAGCUGUGGCUUAGGUUGCGACUGAGGCUUGGAUAUGAUCCCUGGCCCUGGAGCUCCAUAUGCUGCGGGGCAGCCAAAAUGAAAAAAAAAAAGAGUUACGGUUAAAUUAUUUUCGUUCUAUACUUAGAGAACCACAAAGGGUAAGACGGGAUUACUGAUAUUUUUCUCUCACUUUAUUGAAUCUGGGGCGAUAUUUUUUCCUGCAGGGAGCCCAGGGCAUAUCAUAUUUUCCCUCUUCUCUUCCAGUGCUUAGAGCUUCCCCACUCCAAUUUUACCUUGCUAUCUUCUUGUAUUUCAGAAUUUUACUUAGUUACCAAUUUCUCUACAGGCCUCUUUGUCACUGAAACUUACUGUUUAAGGCUUAUUUUAAAGCCGCAAUAAACAAUCAGAGACUGACUCUUAAAGGGCCCC
RNAcentral lists this long non-coding RNA (3423 nucleotides) under Sus scrofa (pig). RNAcentral describes it as "lncRNA (ENSSSCG00005009805.1)". The record is from RNAcentral. Lineage: Eukaryota; Metazoa; Chordata; Mammalia; Artiodactyla; Suidae.